Molecule: long non-coding RNA, 4784 nt
Organism: Acanthochromis polyacanthus (spiny chromis)
Lineage: Eukaryota; Metazoa; Chordata; Actinopteri; Pomacentridae
Exons: 2
Source: RefSeq, a predicted model, not a curated record
GAUUGUUUUACCUCCAGGAUUGUUGAUUUGUGGUUUCUUUUUUUUUUUCUUUAGCGUUUCGGCUUUCCGAACAAAUCCAUAAACCGACACGGCACCGCAGAUGCACGGAAGCCGACACACACAUGCACCGGUCUCCAUUUUAGCUCGCUCCAGCUGCAGGUGGGGCUGUGUGAUGGCCGACACUCUGCUUUGAGGUGCAACGCGUCGAUGCAGCUUCCUCCAACUUGCAUGCUAACACACAGGAGCACGUGCGAGCACAUAUGUAUGCACACGCCGCAUCCCAUCCCUUUCGCUCUCUCACACAUGCAAACGCACUCGGCCGCGCGCUGUGAUUGAUUCGGGAGUGAUGAAGCCGAGGAAACGUGCGCACGGAUCCAUAACAACACCGGCCAGCUAUUCAAAUGCGCCUGCAUCGAGAAAAGCACGGAGAGAAGCUCGGCACCGGAGCAGGAAAAGAGAGGCUUUAUGCGGGAAAACGGAGACAUUUUUGCGGUUGGAAACGGGGCACGCACGCAGCGGCUCAGGAUGUUUACCUCGGUCAGGAUUUGGGACUGUGGCGGCUCUGGAGAGGAGCUGGAAGCCGCUGGAACCGCAGCAGGAGGAGGAUGACUGCUGGGACAAACACCGACGGAGGAGAAGCCGGGAUGCCAGCUCAUCCUCUGCUGCUUUUUUUAUUAUUUGCAACUGGCAUGUGGAGUUAAAGAGUUUAUGUAAAUUGAUGUUCAGGCUCUGUCGGUCUGUGCGCUGCUGAAUGGAGGGAUGAUAAAGAUGCAGGACAGAAUGGGAUCCUGCGGUAAAGUCGGUGACUACAGUAUGAGUGUGUGCGCGCUGGAUGGUCGUGCGUGUGCAUGUCUGUGUUUAUGCGUGGCGCAGAAGAAGAAGGAGAAGAGUUUAAAUGCAGACAUUUGAACCCUGGCACCCUGUUGAGAGGAGACGUGGAGGAAAUAAAGGGUGCUGUCCGAUUCUGACGCACACCUUCAGACUGUUUCUGUGACGCAUCUGCACAGAAACUCACUGCAGCUGCGCCACAUUUUAGCCUACAAUAUCUGCAUUCUGGCAUUAGUUUAUAGCAAAUAUGUUUGUUAGUUUCUUAUUUAAAUAUUCGGAUUAAUUAAACGCUCCUGUGAUCAUGUUGUCUCAGUCCGCAGUGGGCAAUAUUACAACGAAUUGCGCAUGGAUUUGCGUUUUAAUACGCUGAAGCUUUGCCAUUUCAAAUGCGAGCUUAGUUUAAUCAAUGUUGAAUUUUAAAGUUAAACGUAGGAAAUGUGUUUCUAAUGAUACAUAUGUGGCACAUGAUCGUCCACACACGCACACACUCCAGGGUUUAGGUGUGGUGAGGUGCUGUGGUAAAUAGAAACGGGCCUUACGCAUUUUGCGCAUUUAUUUGAAUUGAAUAUUUAAAUGCAAAAACAAACGCAUCGCAAAGGAUGAUUGUGUCGCAAAGCAUGCUGUCAGGUAUUGGAAAUCAGCCCCACCCUCAUGUUGUUACCACAUAAAACAAGCAUACAUGUUGAUCUCAUUUUAGGCAACGUUAAAUAGUAAAACACGAUUGAUUGGGCACAAAAUGAUAAAGAAUGGUUUGGUAUAAUCUGGGAAAUAUUUAUGCAAGUAGGAAAUUAUUGACAUAUUGUAAAACCAACGUCGUGUGAUCUUUUUUUCCAGUUACCAAAACAGUGACAAGUUCUGUUGUAUUUAUGAGUUUGUUAAAAUGUCAGAAGUUUUUUCUUAGCAAGUUUUUAAUACAGCCUUCUAAAAAUGGGAUAAAUUAGUGACACUUUUUUUUAAAAAAUAGAGAAAUUGUGGCACCAAAAAUACACAGCAUUAAGCUACAUUCUCAGAAAUCUCCCCACAAAUUAGAAAGACGCUUUUCAAUAUCCCGCAAAACGGAUUAUAAAAGUCCCUGAAGCCACACAGCCUGUUGGAGGGAAGAAGUCAUUUGGGUUCGAGGCGCUCAGUUCGUGGGGCUGGUUUGGCUAUCGUUGACACGGUUGUGUUGCCAUAAUUGAAGUCUCACCAAAGUUACAGGGAGUAAUUGGGCGGCAUAUGGACACCUUAAUGUAAAGUGAUGCCUUAUUAAUUUCACAUGAGUGCACGAAUCAGAGCAAGUGACGCGGAAUAACACAGGAGGAGAGGCAGUUGAUUUACCCGUGAGCAAGGCAGCAGGUCCGGCAUCUGCUGCUCCUCCAUGAAGGCAUUUUUAUUAUUAAUUAGGGAGAAAUAAAAAGUAAAUUCCUUAAUCACAGGGAUUAAACUUCCAGUCGUCGUGUUGUUACAGCCCAGAGGUUUAUUUUUUCCUACUUGCUCAGGCUGUUUAACAAACUUUACACCAGCUCGUCUUGAAUUCUCUUCAUGGGAUUUAAAACAGUAGAAGCUUUAAAAAAAAAAAACAGGGAAAAAAAUUAUUAGAUUAAGAUUAUCUCUCUGAAGCUGUUAAUGUCAUUUUGGUUUGUCGCCUGUGAGGUGGUUGUAUUUAUUAUUAUUAUUAUUAUUAUUAUUCACAUCCCUAAGUUAUAUUUGCUUUUCGGGCGCAGAAUAAAGAGAACGCUUUAAAACGAUAGAAUUUAAUAGUAUUUGAAUUUGUAAACAAGCUGGCAAUCCUGUAAGAAAUAACUUCAUAAUGUAAAUAAUCACCUCAUUCAAAUGCACAAUAAUUAAAAUGGGCCACGCCUAAAAUGCCACUGACAAAGUGCAUAUAGAAAAAACAGAUAUUUUGGGGUUUGUUUAUUAUAACAAAUCGCAGGCCUUAGCUCGAGUCCCUCCAGGAAUUAUAAUUUUAUUCAGUAUUGAUUGGCGCGGUGUGCUGUGUUUUCAAGGCCUAUACUUCAAAUAUGCUGUAAAGGCCAGUCACCAACGCUGCAAUGCACAUAAAAAGCAACAAAAAACAGAGGAAUCAUUUCAUAUCUUCUCAAAUAUUUUAGGCUUUAAAAUCAUCGUCAAGAGGAUGUGACUCUAAAUCCAUUUAAUCUAAAUUUAGACAAGCAUCAUAUGCAUGCAGAUUUUAAAGGUGAACCAGUAAAUUAAUUUAUUGCUUCAAAACGAUAAAAAAAAAAAAAGCAAGAGCAGCGUGAUUUAUUUUCUAAAGGCCAAUUCACUUUGUCCACAUGUAUGCGCCCUUAUAUUACAGGAGUUCAUGCGCCUUAAAUGACCAGACAGGCCCAACUCAAGUAGGCUCAUUUAUAAAAGUUUAGUUUCACCAGAUGCCAUUUAGCAAAAGGCUUAUUCCUAAACAAGCUGUAAUUGUCAUUUUGAACAUCUAUAAGGCUUGCAACACUGUGUCAUUUUGCAGAGCUGCUGAAAUAUUGAUCCACGGUCCUCUCUGCGAGGCAUUAUAUUGUUUCUGCUCGGAUAUGCUGCUGUGGGCUUCACGGGAAUGAUGCCCCAGAUUAAUAAUCAGUGUGAAACCAGUAAGUAAUUGACACAGUGGCUCUCGGUGCCCAGUCCCUGCUCUCACUUUUGCUCUGGCACAAUAUUUGUUUGUUUGUUUUCGUUUCUUUUUGUAUAAGAUUUGACCAUGGAAACGAAAAAGAGAAUAGAUUUUUUUCCCUCCCCCUCUAAACUCGCCUACAUUUCCACAUGCGCACGUAUAGAUCUGUGUUGCACUACUUGUUGGUCUGUGCCUCGGUUUUUCCUUUGUACUAAUUGAAUUGAAUUCCGCUUGAAAUGUAUCCUCUUUCAGAAGUGCUCAGAAAAGCGUGUCCCUUACAUUCUCUGCAAAGCAAAUGUCACAGGCUCGUAGGGCCAGGCCUAUUUCUGCACAAUGGCCAUAGAGAGGCAGCACACAUAAACACACACUCACACUCACACACACACAGCUCCGGUCGUGCAGACGUGGCAGGAGCCUAUCGAUCCGUAUGAGAAUGUGUAGAUGAGGUUUGCUGCCAAGUAAGGCCAAACCUUUCGUACUCAUCUCCGUCUGCAUCUCGCUUGUCCCCGUGCGUAAAAGCGCAAUAAAUAAAAGUUUCACUGUCAGACAGAGUUGUUUUAUUUUAUAGAUUACCAUAAAGAUGAAUUAUAGUUUGGCUGUAGAAUAAUAAUAAUAAUAAUAAAAGAUUAAACUGAUGCGCUACUUCCCAACACAGUGGAGCUAUUUUUAACAUUAAUAUAAUUCUGUUCACGGUGUUUUUGUUUCCCUGUUGUGAGCUCCAUUUGCCGGCCUCCAAAGUCCAUUAUGUGCACGCUUGGGCAGCCACACUUCGAGGAAUUAGUGGCCCCCAUUGUCUCGACACACGUCACACACACGCCGUUGACAUUGACUUCACAUCAGAGACAGUUUAACUUCUUCUCUCUUUUCUUUCUGUUCUUUUAUUCAACUCGUUCAACCGAGCGCUGGCUCUAUUGUGGGUGGGGUGGGGGGCCCUGACAGAUGCGGGGCCCCUAGCAGGUCCAGGACAGGGAAAAGUCUGAAAGGUUAAUCUGUCCCCCCGCAGAUGUUGGCUUUGGGAGUCUUGAAGCGUCACCUUUGACAUGUCCCUCAUUCAGCGGGGGGUCCAGAAGGACACUGACCGCUGCAAGCUGUCACCUCCAGGCCGGCUGAGGACGCCCUGCGCUUAUAUACCGCUCUAUUAGGCUAAACGGCGCCUGACAUGGAAGCGAAGGGGGCCCGACUCUGAUCAGGCUGCAGGUUCUGGAGAGCUUGACGCAUAACGCACGACCACAGCGCAUGGGUAUAGCAGUCAUGUCAUGUGUCAGCAUGUUGGAUUUGCUCACAACUGCUGUGUUUGUGUCCAUUUGCAGGCCUUCGUUUGGAAUCUUCUCUCAAUAAAAAUCGCUUAAUUUGAAUUAAA